GGGGUUGUGGCUUAGUGGUAGAGCAUUCACCUUGCUGUGCAAAGCCCUGGGUUCAAUCCUCAACACCCCA
This 70-nucleotide transfer RNA is filed under the name Marmota monax (woodchuck). It matches the Rfam family "tRNA". From Rfam's summary of the family: Transfer RNA (tRNA) molecules are approximately 80 nucleotides in length. Their secondary structure includes four short double-helical elements and three loops (D, anti-codon, and T loops). Further hydrogen bonds mediate the characteristic L-shaped molecular structure. tRNAs have two regions of fundamental functional importance: the anti-codon, which is responsible for specific mRNA codon recognition, and the 3' end, to which the tRNAs corresponding amino acid is attached (by aminoacyl-tRNA synthetases). tRNAs cope with the degeneracy of the genetic code in two manners: having more than one tRNA (with a specific anti-codon) for a particular amino acid; and 'wobble' base-pairing, i.e. permitting non-standard base-pairing at the 3rd anti-codon position. The record is from Rfam by way of RNAcentral. Lineage: Eukaryota; Metazoa; Chordata; Mammalia; Rodentia; Sciuridae.